This 497-nucleotide ribosomal RNA is filed under the name uncultured bacterium. RNAcentral describes it as "partial 16S ribosomal RNA". It matches the Rfam family "Bacterial small subunit ribosomal RNA", at positions 28 to 507 of the family's 1533-position model. The record is from RNAcentral.
GAUGAACGCUGGCGGCGUGCCUAAUACAUGCAAGUCGAGCGAACAGAUGAGGAGCUUGCUCCUCUGACGUUAGCGGCGGACGGGUGAGUAACACGUGGAUAACCUACCUAUAAGACUGGGAUAACUUCGGGAAACCGGGGCUAAUACCGGAUAAUAUAUUGAACCGCAUGGUUCAAUAGUGAAAGACGGUUUUGCUGUCACUUAUAGAUGGAUCCGCGCCGCAUUAGCUAGUUGGUAAGGUAACGGCUUACCAAGGCAACGAUGCGUAGCCGACCUGAGAGGGUGAUCGGCCACACUGGAACUGAGACACGGUCCAGACUCCUACGGGAGGCAGCAAUAGGGAAUCUUCCGCAAUGGGCGAAAGCCUGACGGAGCAACGCCGCGUGAGUGAUGAAGGUCUUCGGAUCGUAAAACUCUGUUAUUAGGGAAGAACAAAUGUGUAAGUAACUAUGCACGUCUUGACGGUACCUAAUCAGAAAGCCACGGCUAACUACGUG